This 473-nucleotide ribosomal RNA is filed under the name uncultured Magnetococcus sp. Its description in RNAcentral is "bacterial SSU rRNA". It matches the Rfam family "Bacterial small subunit ribosomal RNA", at positions 79 to 587 of the family's 1533-position model. The record is from RNAcentral. Lineage: Bacteria; Pseudomonadati; Pseudomonadota; Magnetococcia; Magnetococcales; Magnetococcaceae.
UUCGGGAUGCCGGCGAGUGGCGAACGGGUGAGUAAUACGUGGAAACCUAUCCCGAGGUGGGGGAUAACAGCUGGAAACGGCUGCUAAUACCGCAUAAGCCCUAAGGGGGAAAGAUUUAUCGCCUUGGGAGGGGUCCACGUCGGAUUAGCUAGUUGGUGGGGUAAAGGCCUACCAAGGCGACGAUCCGUAGCUGGUCUGAGAGGAUGGACAGCCACACUGGGACUGAGACACGGCCCAGACUCCUACGGGAGGCAGCAGUGGGGAAUAUUGCGCAAUGGGGGAAACCCUGACGCAGCGAUGCCGCGUGGGUGAAGAAGGCCUUCGGGUUGUAAAGCCCUUUCAGUGGGGAAGAUAGUGACGGUACCCACAGAAGAAGCUCCGGCUAACUCCGUGCCAGCAGCCGCGGUAAUACGGAGGGGGCGAGCGUUGUUCGGAAUUACUGGGCGUAAAGGGCGCGUAGGCGGUGCAGCAAG